ACGUAGGGUGCGAGCGUUAUCCGGAUUUACUGGGUUUAAAGGGUGCGUAGGCGGGUAUGUAAGUCAGUGGUGAAAUCCCCGAGCUUAACUUGGGAACUGCCUUUGUUACUAUAUAUCUUGAAUGUGGUAGAGGUGAGUAGAAUAUCACGUGUAGCAGUGAAAUGCUUAGAGAUGUGAAGGAACACCGAUGGCGAAGGCAGCCCACUAGGAUAACAUUGACGCUCAUGCACGAAAGCGUGGGGAUCAAACAG
Molecule: ribosomal RNA, 251 nt
Filed under: uncultured prokaryote
Description: partial 16S rRNA
Rfam family: Bacterial small subunit ribosomal RNA
Source: RNAcentral